GACGAACGCUGGCGGCGUGCCUAAUACAUGCAAGUAGAACGCUGAAGAGAGGAGCCUGCUCUUCUUGGAUGAGUUGCGAACGGGUGAGUAACGCGUAGGUAACCUGCCUGGUAGCGGGGGAUAACUAUUGGAAACGAUAGCUAAUACCGCAUAAUAUUGACUAUUGCAUGAUAGUUGAUUAAAAGGUGCAAUUGCACCACUACCAGAUGGACCUGCGUUGUAUUAGCUAGUUGGUGGGGUAACGGCUCACCAAGGCGACGAUACAUAGCCGACCUGAGAGGGUGAUCGGCCACACUGGGACUGAGACACGGCCCAGACUCCUACGGGAGGCAGCAGUAGGGAAUCUUCGGCAAUGGACGGAAGUCUGACCGAGCAACGCCGCGUGAGUGAAGAAGGUUUUCGGAUCGUAAAGCUCUGUUGUAAGAGAAGAACGAGUGUGAGAGUGGAAAAGUUCACACUGGGACGGU
This 467-nucleotide ribosomal RNA is filed under the name Streptococcus sp. oral taxon 058. RNAcentral describes it as "bacterial SSU rRNA". It matches the Rfam family "Bacterial small subunit ribosomal RNA", at positions 28 to 476 of the family's 1533-position model. The record is from RNAcentral. Lineage: Bacteria; Bacillati; Bacillota; Bacilli; Lactobacillales; Streptococcaceae.